GCUGGGUACAGUGGUGCACACCUGUAAUCCCAGCAACUCGGAGGCUGAGGCAGGAGAAUUGCAAGUUCGAGGCCAGUCUUGGCAACUUAGCGAGACCCUCAGCAACACAGUGAGAUCCUGUCUCAA
This 126-nucleotide small RNA is filed under the name Marmota monax (woodchuck). The record is from RNAcentral. Lineage: Eukaryota; Metazoa; Chordata; Mammalia; Rodentia; Sciuridae.